This 159-nucleotide unclassified non-coding RNA is filed under the name uncultured fungus. RNAcentral's name for it is "sequence contains ITS1". The record is from RNAcentral. Lineage: Eukaryota; Fungi.
CAAAGAGACGCAUUUAUAUGUGUAGCGCAAGGGGAGUGAGUCCCCCCUAGCUAGCGCCUAGUGUUGUCUAGGGGGGCCGUAUUCGUGGCUCCCGGGCGCGCUAUUCACGCUUGUCAUGUUUGUCAGAUAGUGGUUGGGAUGGAAUGCGAUGAAGAGGGA